UGAGGAAUAUUGGUCAAUGGGCGAGAGCCUGAACCAGCCAUCCCGCGUGCAGGAUGACGGCCCUAUGGGUUGUAAACUGCUUUUCCGCGCCAAGAAACCCCCCGACGUGUCGGGGGCUGACGGUAGCGCGGGAAUAAGCACCGGCUAACUCCGUGCCAGCAGCCGCGGUAAUACGGAGGGUGCAAGCGUUAUCCGGAUUCAUUGGGUUUAAAGGGUGCGCAGGCGGGGAAAUAAGUCAGUGGUGAAAUACUGCCGCUCAACGGUAGGGCUGCCAUUGAUACUGUUUUCUUGAGUAUGGUUGAGGCAGGUGGAAUGUGUUGUGUAGCGGUGAAAUGCAUAGAUAUGACACAGAACGCCGAUUGCGAAGGCAACUUGCUAAGCCAUCACUGACGCUGAGGACAC
Molecule: ribosomal RNA, 402 nt
Filed under: uncultured bacterium
Lineage: Bacteria
Description: bacterial SSU rRNA
Rfam family: Bacterial small subunit ribosomal RNA
Source: RNAcentral